RNAcentral lists this ribosomal RNA (207 nucleotides) under uncultured bacterium. Its description in RNAcentral is "partial 16S ribosomal RNA". It matches the Rfam family "Bacterial small subunit ribosomal RNA", at positions 568 to 774 of the family's 1533-position model. The record is from RNAcentral.
CGUGUAGGCGGCCGUCUAAGUCGGGUGUGAAAUCCCUCGGCUCAACCGAGGAAUUGCAUUCGAUACUGGACAGCUAGAGUGCGGUAGGGGCAAGUGGAACUCCAGGUGUAGCGGUGAAAUGCGUAGAUAUCUGGAGGAACGCCGGUGGCGAAAGCGACUUGCUGGUCCGCAACUGACGCUGAGGCGCGAAAGCUAGGGGAGCGAACG